GAACGAUCAUGUCCAGAUUGAACGCUGGCGGGAUGCUUUACACAUGCAAGUCGAACGGCAGCACGGACUUCGGUCUGGUGGCGAGUGGCGAACAGGUGAGUAAUGUAUCGGAACGUGCCUAGUAGCGGGGGAUAGCAUGAAAGCGUAGCUAAUACCGCCGCCCUUCGAGGAAAGCGGGGGACCUUCGGGCCUCGCACUAUUAGAGCAGCCGAUAUCGGAUUAGCUAGUUGGUGGGGUAACGGCUCGCAAGGCGACGAUCCGUAGCUGGUUUGAGAGGACGACAGCACACUGGUUUGGACGGCCAGGCUCCGGAGCAGCAGUGGGGAAUUUUGGACAAUGGGGGAAACCCUGAUCCAGCCCAUCCCACGUGUGCGAUGAAGGCCCCUUCGGGUUGUAAAGCACUUUUGGCGGGAAAACAGCUGGGAUAAUACCCCGUGCAACUGACGGUACCUGCAGAAUAAGCACCGGCUAACUACGUGCCAGCAGCCGCGGUAAUACGUAGGGUGCAAGCGUUAAUCGGAAUUACUGGGCGUAAAGCGUGCGCAGGCGGUUCGGAAGAAGAUGUGAAAUCAGAGCUUAACUUUGGAGACUGCAUUUUAACUACCGAGCUAGGUAUGUCAGGGAGGUGGAAUUCCGCGUGUAGCAGUGAAAUGCGUGAAUGCGGAGGAACACCGAUGGCGAAGGCAGCCUCCUGGGAUAACACUGACGCUCAUGCACGAAAGCGUGGGAGCAAACGGGAUUAGAUACCCUGGUAGUCCGCCUAAACGAUGUCAACUAGCUGUUGGGGCCUUCGGGCCUUGGUAGCGCAACUAACGCGUGAAGUUGACCGCCUGCAAGAUGCGGUCGCAAGAUUAAAACUCAAAGGAAUUGACGGGGACCCGCACAAGCGGUGGAUGAUGUGGAUUAAUUCGAUGCAACGCGAAAAACCUUACCUACCCUUGACAUGUCUGAAUCCCGAAGAGAUUUGGGAGUGCUCGCAAGAGAACCGGAACACAGGUGCUGCAUGGCUGUCGAUGGCUCGUGUCGUGAGAUGUUGGGUUAAGUCCCGCAACGAAGGCGCAACCCUUGUCAUUAGUUGCUACGAAGGGCACUCUAAUGAGACUGCCGGUGACAAACCGGAGGAAGGUGGGGAUGACGUCAAGUCCUCAUGGCCCUUAUGGGUGAGACUUCACGUCAUACAAUGGUCGGGACAGAGGGUCGCCAACCCGCGAGGGGGAGCCAAUCCCAGAAACCCGAUCGUAGUCCGGAUCGCAGUCUGCAACUCAUGCGUGAAGUCGGAAUCGCUAGUAAUCGCGGAUCAGCAUGUCGCGGUGAAUACGUUCCCGGGUCUUGUACACACCGCCCGUCACACCAUAGGAGUGCGUUUUACCAGAAGUAGUUAGCCUAACCGUAAGGAGGGCGAUUACGGUAGGAUUCAUGACUGAGGUGAAGUCGUAACAAGGUAA
RNAcentral lists this ribosomal RNA (1445 nucleotides) under uncultured Bordetella sp. Its description in RNAcentral is "partial 16S-23S ribosomal RNA intergenic spacer". It matches the Rfam family "Bacterial small subunit ribosomal RNA". Lineage: Bacteria; Pseudomonadati; Pseudomonadota; Betaproteobacteria; Burkholderiales; Alcaligenaceae. The record is from RNAcentral.